Triticum dicoccoides is the source of this 161-nucleotide long non-coding RNA. RefSeq lists it as uncharacterized. The transcript is spliced from 3 exons. Lineage: Eukaryota; Viridiplantae; Streptophyta; Magnoliopsida; Poales; Poaceae. The record is from RefSeq and is a predicted model, not a curated record.
AACCCCAGGCAACAGAAGAGCCAGACCAACAGGUGUCAACACCACCACAUGAACAUCAUUGCACUGAACUUUUCACUGUUGCCAAGAAGCCCAAAGAGAACAACAAAGGCGAUGGCCCCUUCCUGUCAGCUACAACAUCAGCUCAUAAAUUACCUUCUUCU